CGGAAGGUCCGGGCGUUAUCCGGAUUUAUUGGGUUUAAAGGGAGCGUAGGCCGGAGAUUAAGCGUGUUGUGAAAUGUAGAUGCUCAACAUCUGCACUGCAGCGCGAACUGGUUUCCUUGAGUACGCACAAAGUGGGCGGAAUUCGUGGUGUAGCGGUGAAAUGCUUAGAUAUCACGAAGAACUCCGAUUGCGAAGGCAGCUCACUGGAGCGCAACUGACGCUGAAGCUCGAAAGUGCGGGUAUCGA
Molecule: ribosomal RNA, 246 nt
Filed under: uncultured bacterium
Lineage: Bacteria
Description: partial 16S ribosomal RNA
Rfam family: Bacterial small subunit ribosomal RNA
Source: RNAcentral